UACGGAGGGAGCUAGCGUUAUUCGGAAUUACUGGGCGUAAAGCGCACGUAGGCGGCUUUGUAAGUUAGAGGUGAAAGCCCAGGGCUUAACCCUGGAAUUGCCUUUAAGACUGCAUCGCUAGAAUCGUGGAGAGGUGAGUGGAAUUCCGAGUGUAGAGGUGAAAUUCGUGGAUAUUCGGAAGAACACCAGUGGCGAAGGCGACUCACUGGACACGUAUUGACGCUGAGGUGCGAAAGCGUGGGGAGCAAACAGG
RNAcentral lists this ribosomal RNA (253 nucleotides) under uncultured bacterium. RNAcentral's name for it is "partial 16S ribosomal RNA". It matches the Rfam family "Bacterial small subunit ribosomal RNA", at positions 524 to 776 of the family's 1533-position model. The record is from RNAcentral.